CUUAGUACGAGAGGACCGGGAUGGACAGACCUCUGGUGCACCAGUUGUCGUGCCAACGGCACAGCUGGGUAGCUACGUCUGGACGAGAUAAACGCUGAAGGCAUCUAAGCGUGAAACUCCCCCUAAGAUAAGAUCUCCCAUCCUUUAUGGAGUAAGGGCUGAUGAAGACUACAUCGUUGAUAGGCCGGAAGUGUAAGUGCAGUAAUGUAUUAAGCUGACCGGUACUAAUAGCCCGAGGGCUUGACCUACAA
RNAcentral lists this ribosomal RNA (251 nucleotides) under Oscillospiraceae bacterium. RNAcentral describes it as "partial 23S ribosomal RNA". It matches the Rfam family "Bacterial large subunit ribosomal RNA", at positions 2677 to 2925 of the family's 2925-position model. The record is from RNAcentral. Lineage: Bacteria; Bacillati; Bacillota; Clostridia; Eubacteriales; Oscillospiraceae.